This is a small nucleolar RNA of Gracilinanus agilis (Agile Gracile Mouse Opossum), 134 nucleotides long. RefSeq annotates it as small nucleolar RNA SNORA13. The record is from RefSeq and is a predicted model, not a curated record. The transcript has a single exon. Lineage: Eukaryota; Metazoa; Chordata; Mammalia; Didelphimorphia; Didelphidae.
UGCCUUUUGUGUUGCCCAUUCACUUUUGUCACUAGUGGAUGUGGUGUCAAAAAAGGCAGAAAUAAAUACUUUGCAGCUUUUUCUCAUCUUGGGAUUUUUGUUCCUUUGUUGAGUGUGCUGUAUAAGUAACAGUU